RNAcentral lists this unclassified non-coding RNA (317 nucleotides) under uncultured fungus. RNAcentral describes it as "partial contains 5.8S ribosomal RNA, internal transcribed spacer 2, and large subunit ribosomal RNA". The stretch from base 1 to 52 matches the Rfam family "5.8S ribosomal RNA", at positions 103 to 154 of the family's 154-position model. The record is from RNAcentral. Lineage: Eukaryota; Fungi.
AACGCAUCUUGCACUCCAUGGUAUUCCGUGGAGUAUGUCUGUUUGAGUGUCAUGAAACUCUCAACCCUGGUUAUGAUUGUGUAUCCAAGGGUUGGAUCAUGAGUGGCUGCUGGACCUGUGUAUCAGCUCGCUCUAAAUUCAUUGGCAGUCUGCUUGUUGUUGCUUCUCUCUGCAAACAUGUAGGGCUGGUGUGAUAGUAAUGUAUUCACUGGAACCCUGCUGCAGUUGAUUGUAGAGGCAUCAAUGGAGCUGAUGCACUUGACAAAUAUCUUUUAGUGUUUGACCUCAGAUCAGGCAGGACUACCCGCUGAACUUAA